This 492-nucleotide ribosomal RNA is filed under the name uncultured bacterium. RNAcentral's name for it is "partial 16S ribosomal RNA". It matches the Rfam family "Bacterial small subunit ribosomal RNA", at positions 30 to 507 of the family's 1533-position model. The record is from RNAcentral.
AUUGAACGCUGGCGGUAGGCCUAACACAUGCAAGUCGAACGGCAGCACAGUAAGAGCUUGCUCUUACGGGUGGCGAGUGGCGGACGGGUGAGGAAUACAUCGGAAUCUACUUUUUCGUGGGGGAUAACGUAGGGAAACUUACGCUAAUACCGCAUACGACCUACGGGUGAAAGCAGGGGAUCUUCGGACCUUGCGGCAUUGAAUGUGCCGAUGUCGGAUUAGCGAGUUGGCGGGGUAAAGGCCCACCAAGGCGACGAUCCGUAGCUGGUCUGAGAGGAUGAUCAGCCACACUGGAACUGAGACACGGUCCAGACUCCUACGGGAGGCAGCAGUGGGGAAUAUUGGACAAUGGGCGCAAGCCUGAUCCAGCCAUACCGCGUGGGUGAAGAAGGCCUUCGGGUUGUAAAGCCCUUUUGUUGGGAAAGAAAAGCAGCAGGUUAAUACCCCGCUGUUCUGACGGUACCCAAAGAAUAAGCACCGGCUAACUUCGUG